CUGCAGUAUUCUGUUUUGAAUGUGGUCAACACUGAUUUUCUACUCUUGGGACUGCUUAUCUCCAGACCCAGGAUGCUUCCUUUAAACAUGGGUUCACUGGUAGUACAUCACUAGAAUUUCUGUUCAAUCAUAAAAGGAGUCAUUUAAAGGUCUUUGUUUUCCACUGUAUCUAGAACAUCAUGGUAGUACAACAUCCUUUUUAGCAAGGGCUUUUGGGGUAGGAUAUGUCUGUUUGGGAAAUUAGAUCAGGAUUCAUCUUCAAUUAACCAGAGUUACUAAAUGGCAUUCUGUGUUACUGAUGAUAUUUAAAGUUAAUGUUGGUAGUUGCUGUGUAUUGAAUUUGUGUUGUCUUUUUCUUUUAUGACAGAAUGCCAUGUAUUAAGUUGUAGGUCUUGUGAACCUUCUAGAAGGUAAUGGGGUAAACUGUCAUUAGUGCUAAGCGUUCAGAGUUAUUUAAUUAAAACAGCCUGUAUUGAAGUUAUUGUUCUUUUAUUUAUUAGUGAUGAACUUACACCACUGUAUGCUUUAGUGUUUUAUAGAUUGAUUAGGAUAAGCUGUUCUGUAACAGUCAUUCCUUUAUUCAUUCACUCAUAUUUUUCUGUUGCACACUUCAGAAGCUUCUUCUCAAAUUAUCUUGACACUCCUUUCCCAUUUGCCCUCGGUACAUUACAGUCCAGCUACUGCUUUAACCACAGCAUUGCCAUUGAUGGGAUUGUUCAUACCUCACCAAGUUCCUCUUCCCAGGUCCGUCUUUACCAUUUUAGAUGAUGAUAAGUGUGUUCUAUUCAUUCUCCCUUCUUGACCUUCCUCAUGCUCUUAGUUUUAUCGCUACACUUGCCCAUCUCUUCCAUUUUUAUACUUUCUUUCCUUUGCUCAGUACUUAACUAAGUUUCCAGAUAUCUGUCCUUAAACCACUUUCAUUUUCAUUUUCUACAGUCUUCCCUGACUUUCCUAACUAACUGCUGGUACUCAAAACCCUUUAUCACUGGCCCUUAUCUCUGCCCUUUGCUCAAAAUUAUUAUGUCCAGCAGGAUGUGGUCACGCACACCUGUAAUCCCAGCAACUUGGGACACUGAAUCAAGAGGACUGCAAGCUCAAGGACAUACUAGGCAUCUUAGCAAGACCUUGCCCCAAAAUAAAAAAUAAAAAAGGCUGGUGAUGUAGCUCAGUGGUAGAGGGUCCCUUGGUUCAAUUCCCCAUAAC
RNAcentral lists this long non-coding RNA (1203 nucleotides) under Marmota monax (woodchuck). Lineage: Eukaryota; Metazoa; Chordata; Mammalia; Rodentia; Sciuridae. The record is from RNAcentral.